This is a long non-coding RNA of Aegilops tauschii subsp. strangulata, 537 nucleotides long. RefSeq lists it as uncharacterized. The record is from RefSeq and is a predicted model, not a curated record. Lineage: Eukaryota; Viridiplantae; Streptophyta; Magnoliopsida; Poales; Poaceae.
CUUCCAUACCACUUUUGACAUCCUUGUCGCCCUACCCUAUCCCCUCUGCACGUCACGUCGCUACUACCAUUAAUUUGGCCUUGUCGCCCUGAUCUUUUAACAUACGCUAAUGUGGGAGUAACUCACCCUGUGUGCUUGCCGCUUGGAUGGUGAAGGCCUGAAGUGACCACUUGACGUCCCCUGAUCGAUCACAUAAGAGCCAUGGCGUGAAUCCGCACGUGGUCGUUACUCACACCUAUGGAGUCCAGGGAGCUUUUGGUUACUGGGUGCAACCGUUGGGAGAUGGCAGCACAGGUUAUCUUCAACAGAUUUAGAUGGCGGCUAACUAAUAGGCUAGGUGUUUAGUCAUCGUAGCCUGUUAUUUUUUCCGCCGGAUGUGGCUCUUUUUUAGCCUUUUGUAGGGCUCUAUUUCUAAGUUCAUGUUUCGUUUUGCACUUUUGUUGGACAUGCUUUGAUUAAUAAUAUGGCUGCAUGCAUCCUCCGGAUGCAGAGGCCGGGGUAUCCUCCUUUUCAAAAAAAAAACUAAAUUUGCUUCAA